RNAcentral lists this ribosomal RNA (882 nucleotides) under Scedosporium sp. 1 JC-2016. Its description in RNAcentral is "eukaryotic LSU rRNA". It matches the Rfam family "Eukaryotic large subunit ribosomal RNA", at positions 28 to 935 of the family's 3401-position model. The record is from RNAcentral. Lineage: Eukaryota; Fungi; Ascomycota; Sordariomycetes; Microascales; Microascaceae.
CUGAACUUAAGCAUAUCAAUAAGCGGAGGAAAAGAAACCAACAGGGAUUGCCUCAGUAACGGCGAGUGAAGCGGCAACAGCUCAAAUUUGAAAUCUGGCAGCCUUCGGGCGGUCCGAGUUGUAAUUUGAAGAGGAUGCUUUUGGCGAGGCGCCUUCCGAGUGCCCUGGAACGGGACGCCACAGAGGGUGAGAGCCCCGUAUGGUUGGACGCCGAGCCUCUGUAAAGCUCCUUCGACGAGUCGAGUAGUUUGGGAAUGCUGCUCAAAAUGGGAGGUAAACCCCUUCUAAAGCUAAAUACUGGCCAGAGACCGAUAGCGCACAAGUAGAGUGAUCGAAAGAUGAAAAGCACUUUGAAAAGAGAGUUAAAUAGCACGUGAAAUUGUUGAAAGGGAAGCGCUUGCGACCAGACUUGUGCCCGUCGAAUCAGCCGCCGCUCGUCGGCGGCGCACUUCGGCGGGCUCAGGCCAGCAUCAGUUCGCUGCAGGGGGAGAAAGGCGGUGGGAAUGUGGCUCUUCGGAGUGUUAUAGCCCGCCGCGCAAUACCCCUCGGCGGACUGAGGACCGCGCAUCUGCAAGGAUGCUGGCGUAAUGGUCGUCAGCGACCCGUCUUGAAACACGGACCAAGGAGUCGUCCUAAUAUGCGAGUGUUCGGGUGUAAAACCCCUGCGCGUAAUGAAAGUGAACGGAGGUGAGAGCUUCGGCGCAUCAUCGACCGAUCCUGAUGUUCUCGGAUGGAUUUGAGUAAGAGCAUAUUGGGCCGGACCCGAAAGAAGGUGAACUAUGCCUGUAUAGGGUAAAGCCAGAGGAAACUCUGGUGGAGGCUCGCAGCGGUUCUGACGUGCAAAUCGAUCGUCAAAUAUGGGCAUGGGGGCGAAAGACUAAU